GAUGAACGCCGGCGGUGUGCCUAAUACAUGCAAGUCGAGCGCACUGGCCCAACUGAUAUGACGUGCUUGCACUGAAUUGACGUUGGAUUACCAGUGAGCGGCGGACGGGUGAGUAACACGUGGGCAACCUGCCCUGAAGUGGGGGAUAACAUCUGGAAACAGGUGCUAAUACCGCAUAACAACGAAAACCACAUGGUUUUCGUUUCAAAGAUGGUUUCGGCUAUCACUUCAGGAUGGGCCCGCGGUGCAUUAGCUAGUUGGUAAGGUAACGGCUUACCAAGGCAAUGAUGCAUAGCCGAGUUGAGAGACUGAUCGGCCACAAUGGAACUGAGACACGGUCCAUACUCCUACGGGAGGCAGCAGUAGGGAAUCUUCCACAAUGGGCGCAAGCCUGAUGGAGCAACACCGCGUGAGUGAAGAAGGGUUUCGGCUCGUAAAGCUCUGUUGUUGGAGAAGAACGUGCGUGAGAGUAACUGUUCACGCAGUGACGGUAUCCAACCAGAAAGUCACGGCUAACUACGUGCCAGCAGCCGCGGUAAUACGUAGGUGGCAAGCGUUAUCCGGAUUUAUUGGGCGUAAAGCGAGCGCAGGCGGUUGCUUAGGUCUGAUGUGAAAGCCUUCGGCUUAACCGAAGAAGGGCAUCGGAAACCGGGCGACUUGAGUGCAGAAGAGGACAGUGGAACUCCAUGUGUAGCGGUGGAAUGCGUAGAUAUAUGGAAGAACACCAGUGGCGAAGGCGGCUGUCUGGUCUGCAACUGACGCUGAGGCUCGAAAGCAUGGGUAGCGAACAGG
RNAcentral lists this ribosomal RNA (792 nucleotides) under uncultured Lactobacillus sp. RNAcentral describes it as "bacterial SSU rRNA". It matches the Rfam family "Bacterial small subunit ribosomal RNA", at positions 28 to 776 of the family's 1533-position model. The record is from RNAcentral. Lineage: Bacteria; Bacillati; Bacillota; Bacilli; Lactobacillales; Lactobacillaceae.